UAGGUGGCAAGCGUUGUCCGGAAUUACUGGGUGUAAAGGGAGCGUAGGCGGGGGUGCAAGUUGAAUGUGAAACCUACAGGCUUAACUUGUAGUUGCGUUCAAAACUGUAUCUCUUGAGUGAAGUAGAGGUAGGCGGAAUUCCUAGUGUAGCGGUGAAAUGCGUAAAUAUUAGGAGGAACACCAGUGGCGAAGGCGGCCUACUGGGCUUUAACUGACGCUGAGGCUCGAAAGCGUGGGUAGCAAA
This 244-nucleotide ribosomal RNA is filed under the name uncultured bacterium. Its description in RNAcentral is "partial 16S ribosomal RNA". It matches the Rfam family "Bacterial small subunit ribosomal RNA", at positions 528 to 772 of the family's 1533-position model. The record is from RNAcentral.